GACGAACGCUGGCGGCGUGCUUAACACAUGCAAGUCGAACGGAAAGGUCCUGCUUAUGUGGGGUGCUCGAGUGACGACCGGGUGAGUAACCCGUGAGUAACCUGUACUUGACUGUGGGAUAACUUCAGAACACUUGGGCUCAUACCGGAUAGGAGCUCCUGCUGCAUGGUGGGGGUUGGAAAGUUUCGGCGGUUGGGGAUGGACUCGCGGCUUAUCAGCUUGUUGGUGGGGUAGUGGAUUACCAAGGCUUGGAAGGGUGGCGGGGCUGGGCGGGGCACCGGCCACAUUGCGAUUGAGAUGAGGCCCAGCCUCGUACGGGAGGCAGCAGUGGGGAAGAGUGCACAGGGGGAGGAAGCCUGAUGCAGCAACGCCGCGUGGGGGAUGACAGCCUGCGGGUUGGAUUCCGCUUUCGCCUGUGACGAAGCGUGAGUGACGGUAAUGGGUAAAGAAGCACCGGCUAACUACGUG
RNAcentral lists this ribosomal RNA (468 nucleotides) under uncultured bacterium. Its description in RNAcentral is "partial 16S ribosomal RNA". It matches the Rfam family "Bacterial small subunit ribosomal RNA", at positions 28 to 507 of the family's 1533-position model. The record is from RNAcentral.